Molecule: ribosomal RNA, 902 nt
Filed under: Fusarium equiseti
Lineage: Eukaryota; Fungi; Ascomycota; Sordariomycetes; Hypocreales; Nectriaceae
Description: LSU rRNA
Rfam family: Eukaryotic large subunit ribosomal RNA
Source: RNAcentral
UUAAGCAUAUCAAUAAGCGGAGGAAAAGAAACCAACAGGGAUUGCCCUAGUAACGGCGAGUGAAGCGGCAACAGCUCAAAUUUGAAAUCUGGCUUUCGGGCCCGAGUUGUAAUUUGUAGAGGAUACUUUUGAUGCGGUGCCUUCCGAGUUCCCUGGAACGGGACGCCAUAGAGGGUGAGAGCCCCGUCUGGUUGGAUGCCAAAUCUCUGUAAAGUUCCUUCGACGAGUCGAGUAGUUUGGGAAUGCUGCUCUAAAUGGGAGGUAUAUGUCUUCUAAAGCUAAAUAUUGGCCAGAGACCGAUAGCGCACAAGUAGAGUGAUCGAAAGAUGAAAAGCACUUUGAAAAGAGAGUUAAAAAGUACGUGAAAUUGUUGAAAGGGAAGCGUUUAUGACCAGACUUGGACUUGGUUAAUCAUCUGGGGUUCUCCCCAGUGCACUUUUCCAGUUCAGGCCAGCAUCAGUUUUCGCCGGGGGAUAAAGGCAGCGGGAAUGUGGCUCUCUUCGGGGAGUGUUAUAGCCCGUUGUGUAAUACCCUGGUGGGGACUGAGGUUCGCGCUUCUGCAAGGAUGCUGGCGUAAUGGUCAUCAACGACCCGUCUUGAAACACGGACCAAGGAGUCGUCUUCGUAUGCGAGUGUUCGGGUGUCAAACCCCUACGCGUAAUGAAAGUGAACGCAGGUGAGAGCUUCGGCGCAUCAUCGACCGAUCCUGAUGUUCUCGGAUGGAUUUGAGUAAGAGCAUACGGGGCCGGACCCGAAAGAAGGUGAACUAUGCCUGUAUAGGGUGAAGCCAGAGGAAACUCUGGUGGAGGCUCGCAGCGGUUCUGACGUGCAAAUCGAUCGUCAAAUAUGGGCAUGGGGGGCGAAAGACUAAUCGAACCUUCUAGUAGCUGGUUUCCGCCGAA